This 240-nucleotide unclassified non-coding RNA is filed under the name soil metagenome. Its description in RNAcentral is "partial contains 5.8S ribosomal RNA, internal transcribed spacer 2, and large subunit ribosomal RNA". The record is from RNAcentral.
AACCAUAGAAACCUGCGGAGUACCUGCGGAAGGAUCAUUACCGAGUGAGGGCCCUCCGGGUCCAACCUCCCACCCGUGUUUAACGAACCUUGUUGCUUCGGCGGGCCCGCCUCACGGCCGCCGGGGGGCACCCCGCCCCCGGGCCCGCGCCCGCCGAAGACACCUGUGAACGCUGUCUGAAGUUGCAGUCUGAGACACUAGCUCAAUCAGUUAAAACUUUCAACAAUGGAUCUCAGAUCG